RNAcentral lists this ribosomal RNA (374 nucleotides) under uncultured eukaryote. RNAcentral's name for it is "partial 18S ribosomal RNA". It matches the Rfam family "Eukaryotic small subunit ribosomal RNA", at positions 592 to 975 of the family's 1831-position model. The record is from RNAcentral.
CAAUAGCGUAUAUUUAAGUUGUUGCAGUUAAAAAGCUCGUAGUUGGAUUUCGGUUAAGAGCGACCGGUCCGCCGUUUGGUGUGCACUGGUUGGUUUUAACUUCCUGUAGAGGACGUGCUCUGGGUUUAACGACCUGGACUCGGAGUCUACGUGGUUACUUUGAAAAAAUUAGAGUGUUCAAAGCGGGCUUACGCUUGAAUAUUUCAGCAUGGAAUAACACUAUAGGACUCCUGUCCUAUUUCGUUGGUCUCGGGACGGGAGUAAUGAUUAAGAGGAACAGUUGGGGGCAUUCGUAUUUCAUUGUCAGAGGUGAAAUUCUUGGAUUUAUGAAAGACGAGCUUCUGCGAAAGCAUUUGCCAAGGAUGUUUNCAUUA